UGUUAUCUCAACUUCGCCCUUCCUUUCUUCGAUGGUUGGCCAAUUCUCCGAAAUUCUCAACUCCCCUAUCUUCAUUAACUACCACCUCCACCAUAUUACUGUUGAACUCCUGUUGUUCCUCUUUGAAGCUCAAUUUCCUUUCAGAUUUCUCUCUGGCAUCUAAUUGAGCUAUACCACUUAUAUCGGGUACAGUUUUUCCAACAUCCUUACUUGACUCAUUCCUCCCCCUAUUUCCACUACAGUCUUACUCUUUUGGAUCUAAACUAUUUGAAGUUGAACUGCCCUUACUAGCAUAAAACACCAAACUUGCGCUAUUAACUUCCUCAAAUCCAUUAACACUCAAUUGCAACUUAGUAUUAUUUGACUCUUUUUCCUUCAUCUUAACUGGCUCGAAAUUUUUUGCACCAGACACAAUUGCCACGUUAUCAGAUUUCUUAAACUCAUUAGCCACUGAUUAUCCUCCGCUUACACUCGAUUGUUUCUCUCCAAAAUUUGUAUCAACACCAAUAACAAAUACCUCACUUUCCCAAUUUGUAUUUAACGUUGAUCUAUUCUUAUCACCACAAAAAAUAGGGCAUGUUAUUCCAGUUACCGGAAUGUAAUGGUUGGACUGAUCUUUGGAGGCUGAUUUAGCCUCAAUUAUUUUAGUUAGCAUUGAAAUCAUCAGCUCAUGAUUCCUAUUAAAAUUUUCCAUUAUGCUAUCCAAUCGAGAGACACCCAUGGAUUGUAGCUGCUCUGAUACCAUUUGUUAUGGUCGAAGCUCAACUUCAAUCAAAACUUGUUAAAUUCCAACCAACAUCAACACACAAUUUAAGAUACUAAGCUGAAUUCAAUAACUCAGAUUAAUUGAACUCAAAUUAUAGGGAAAUAAUGGAAUGUAAACUGUACAUUGUUGAUUGAUA
RNAcentral lists this long non-coding RNA (902 nucleotides) under Olea europaea (common olive). RNAcentral describes it as "long non-coding RNA (OEUR_LNC009036)". Lineage: Eukaryota; Viridiplantae; Streptophyta; Magnoliopsida; Lamiales; Oleaceae. The record is from RNAcentral.